UACGGAAGGUGCAAGCAUUAAUCGGAUUUAUUGGGCGUAAAGGGCGCGUAGGCGGGUUAGCAAGUUAGAUGUGAAAUUUCGGGGCUCAACCCCGAAGCUGCAUUUAAAACUACUUAUCUUGAGGGUAGGCGGAGAGAAUGGAAUUCCACGUGUAGCGGUGAAAUGCGUAGAUACGUGGAGGAACACCGGUGGCGAAAGCGGUUCUCUAGCUUAUUCCUGACGCUGAGGCGCGAGAGCAAGGGGAGCAAACAGG
RNAcentral lists this ribosomal RNA (253 nucleotides) under uncultured bacterium. RNAcentral describes it as "partial 16S ribosomal RNA". It matches the Rfam family "Bacterial small subunit ribosomal RNA", at positions 524 to 776 of the family's 1533-position model. The record is from RNAcentral.